UGAGGAAUAUUGGGCAAUGCCCGAAAGGGUGACCCAGCAACGCCGCGUGGAGGAUGAAGGUCGUAAGAUUGUAAACUCCUGUUAGAGGGGAAGAAUAACUAAGUUUGGAACUUAGUAUGACUGUACCCUCAGAGAAAGCCCCGGCUAACUACGUGCCAGCAGCCGCGGUAAUACGUAGGGGGCAAGCGUUGUCCGGAUUUACUGGGUGUAAAGGGCGCGCAGGCGGAAUGGAAAGUCAGUGGUGAAAUCCUACAGCUUAACUGUAGAACUGCCUUUGAUACUUUCAUUCUUGAGUUCGGGAGAGAGAGACGGAAUUCCAGGUGUAGUGGUGAAAUACGUAGAUAUCUGGAAGAACACCAGUUGCGAAGGCGGUCUCUUGGUCCGAUACUGACGCUGAGGCGCGAAAGCGUGGGGAGCAAACA
Molecule: ribosomal RNA, 422 nt
Filed under: uncultured bacterium
Lineage: Bacteria
Description: bacterial SSU rRNA
Rfam family: Bacterial small subunit ribosomal RNA
Source: RNAcentral